This 711-nucleotide ribosomal RNA is filed under the name Streptomyces thermophilus. Its description in RNAcentral is "bacterial SSU rRNA". It matches the Rfam family "Bacterial small subunit ribosomal RNA", at positions 305 to 1027 of the family's 1533-position model. Lineage: Bacteria; Bacillati; Actinomycetota; Actinomycetes; Kitasatosporales; Streptomycetaceae. The record is from RNAcentral.
CGGCCACACUGGGACUGAAACACGGCCCAGACUCCUACGGGAGGCAGCAGUGGGGAAUAUUGCACAAUGGGCGCAAGCCUGAUGCAGCGACGCCGCGUGAGGGAUGACGGCCUUCGGGUUGUAAACCUCUUUCAGCAGGGAAGAAGCGCAAGUGACGGUACCUGCAGAAGAAGCGCCGGCUAACUACGUGCCAGCAGCCGCGGUAAUACGUAGGGCGCGAGCGUUGUCAGGAAUUAUUGGGCGUAAAGAGCUCGUAGGCGGCUUGUCGCGUCAGUUGUGAAAGCCCGGGGCUUAACCCCGGGUCUGCAGUCGAUACGGGCAGGCUAGAGUUCGGUAGGGGAGAUCGGAAUUCCUGGUGUAGCGGUGAAAUGCGCAGAUAUCAGGAGGAACACCGGUGGCGAAGGCGGAUCUCUGGGCCGAUACUGACGCUGAGGAGCGAAAGCGUGGGGAGCGAACAGGAUUAGAUACCCUGGUAGUCCACGCCGUAAACGGUGGGCACUAGGUGUGGGCAACAUUCCACGUUGUCCGUGCCGCAGCUAACGCAUUAAGUGCCCCGCCUGGGGAGUACGGCCGCAAGGCUAAAACUCAAAGGAAUUGACGGGGGCCCGCACAAGCGGCGGAGCAUGUGGCUUAAUUCGACGCAACGCGCAGAACCUUACCAAUGCUUGACAUACACCGGACAGCAUCAGAGAUGGUGCCCCCCUUGUGGUC